CAUGGCGUCAGGACGAACGCUGGCGGCGUAGCUUAACACAUGCAAGUCGAACGGAACACCCUUGACAGAGGUUCGGCCGAAUGAAGAGGAAUGUUUAGUGGCGGGACUGGUGAGUAACGCGUGAGGAACCUGCCUUCAGAGGGGGACGAACAGUUGGAAACGACUGCUAAUACCGCAUGAAGCAGCGGGGGGACAUCCCCUUGCUGUCAAAGAUUUAUCGCUGAAAGAUGGCCUCGCGUCUGAUUAGCUAGUUGGUGGGGUAACGGCCCACCAAGGCGACGAUCAGUAGCCGGACUGAGAGGUUGACCGGCCACAUUGGGACUGAGAUACGGCCCAGACUCCUACGGGAGGCAGCAGUGGGGAAUAUUGGGCAAUGGACGCAAGUCUGACCCAGCAACGCCGCGUGAAGGAAGAAGGCUUUCGGGUUGUAAACUUCUUUUAACAGGGAAGAGAAGAAGACGGUACCUGUUGAAUAAGCCACGGCUAACUACGUGCCAGCCGCGGC
RNAcentral lists this ribosomal RNA (505 nucleotides) under uncultured bacterium. RNAcentral's name for it is "bacterial SSU rRNA". It matches the Rfam family "Bacterial small subunit ribosomal RNA", at positions 18 to 518 of the family's 1533-position model. The record is from RNAcentral.